Molecule: ribosomal RNA, 563 nt
Filed under: Pichia sp. 15c-1
Lineage: Eukaryota; Fungi; Ascomycota; Pichiomycetes; Pichiales; Pichiaceae
Description: eukaryotic LSU rRNA
Rfam family: Eukaryotic large subunit ribosomal RNA
Source: RNAcentral
GGCGAGUGAAGCGGCAAAAGCUCAAAUUUGAAAUCUGGCGCCUUCGGUGUCCGAGUUGUAAUUUGAAGAUUGUAACCUUGGGGUUGGCUCUUGUCUAUGUUUCUUGGAACAGGACGUCACAGAGGGUGAGAAUCCCGUGCGAUGAGAUGCCCAAUUCUAUGUAAGGUGCUUUCGAAGAGUCGAGUUGUUUGGGAAUGCAGCUCUAAGUGGGUGGUAAAUUCCAUCUAAAGCUAAAUAUUGGCGAGAGACCGAUAGCGAACAAGUACAGUGAUGGAAAGAUGAAAAGAACUUUGAAAAGAGAGUGAAAAAGUACGUGAAAUUGUUGAAAGGGAAGGGUUUGAGAUCAGACUCGAUAUUUUGUGAGCCUUGCCUUCGUGGCGGGGUGACCCGCAGCUUAUCGGGCCAGCAUCGGUUUGGGCGGUAGGAUAAUGGCGUAGGAAUGUGACUUUACUUCGGUGAAGUGUUAUAGCCUGCGUUGAUGCUGCCUGCCUAGACCGAGGACUGCGAUUUUAUCAAGGAUGCUGGCAUAAUGAUCCCAAACCGCCCGUCUUGAAACACGGACA